This 124-nucleotide ribosomal RNA is filed under the name Haemophilus influenzae. RNAcentral describes it as "partial 23S ribosomal RNA". It matches the Rfam family "Bacterial large subunit ribosomal RNA", at positions 2815 to 2925 of the family's 2925-position model. Lineage: Bacteria; Pseudomonadati; Pseudomonadota; Gammaproteobacteria; Pasteurellales; Pasteurellaceae. The record is from RNAcentral.
CAAUCUUAAAGAUAGUAAGGGUUGUUGUAGACUACGACGUAGAUAGGUCUGGUGUGUAAGUGUAGUGAUACAUUGAGCUAACAGAUACUAAUUGCCCGAGAGGCUUAGCUAUACAACGCUCAAG